UUUCCAUCUCCGGUAUUUCGGUGGGGUCGCGGGUUCAGAAGUGUGGGAAUUGCAAAACCGCAUUAUAUAUUCCACAAAUCUUACUGCAUACCCGUAUCAGUAGCACGACUGCAUCUCUGUGCUGGGCAUUUUUUAUUUCCUAAAUCAGAGUAAGUGCACCAAUGAAGUGCACGUGGCCCAAGCAAAAACAACGACAGCGUCGCGUCACCACUGAUUUUUGAGAAAACCCUGAUGAAGAGGCUACGUGUCUAAAGUGAGGCUGAUUGUUGCUCAACAGGGCAACUCAGAGAUAAGAGGAGAAGCCCACCUCGGAGGGGUGAAAUUUUACGCAGUGGAUCUGAGGUAUGGUCUGUUUACUCCUGCACGUCAAACGAUCUUGAACUUUGCCUGGUCGCUUCAGACGGUCCUACUGCAAAGUGGAAAUGACAGUUGGGAAUCGGCACCGGGAGAUGCCAGCGAUAGAGGCCGUCCU
This is a long non-coding RNA of Anguilla anguilla (European eel), 472 nucleotides long. RefSeq lists it as uncharacterized. The transcript is spliced from 3 exons. The record is from RefSeq and is a predicted model, not a curated record. Lineage: Eukaryota; Metazoa; Chordata; Actinopteri; Anguilliformes; Anguillidae.